AGCCUUCCGGCUGGGAAGAGGCUCGAGGCACGUCUGUGACAUCAUUUCUGCGCGACCCUUCAGGUCAGAGUUUUCCUGCUGCUCUUCAGAACUAUGCCUAAAGUAGUGUCCCGGUCGGUAGUCUGCUCCGACACCCGGGAUCGGGAGGAGUAUGACGACGGCGAGAAGCCCCUCCACGUCUACUACUGUUUGUGUGGCCAGAUGGUCCUGGUGCUGGACUGUCAGUUAGAGAAACUGCCCAUGAGGCCCCGGGAUCGGUCCCGGGUGAUCGAUGCUGCCAAACACGCCCACAAAUUUUGUAACACAGAAGACGAGGAGACUAUGUAUCUUCGGAGGCCUGAAGGCAUUGAACGACAAUACCGGAAGAAGUGUGCCAAGUGUGGACUGCCACUCUUCUACCAGUCCCAGCCGAAGAACGCUCCUGUGACCUUCAUCGUGGAUGGAGCAGUGGUCAAGUUUGGCCAGGGUUUUGGCAAAACAAACAUCUAUACGCAGAAACAGGAGCCUCCUAAGAAGGUGAUGAUGACCAAACGGACGAAAGACAUGGGCAAGUUCAGCUCUGUCACGGUGUCUACGAUUGACGAAGAGGAAGAGGAGAUCGAGGCUAGAGAAGUCGCUGACUCGUACGCGCAGAAUGCCAAGGUCAUUGAAAAGCAGCUGGAGCGCAAAGGCAUGAGCAAAAGGCGGCUGCAGGAGCUGACUGGCAGGUAUCAGCUCUGGUUUGAAUCUCUCUGCUGUCGGAAGAAAAUCCAUAAAAAGCUAGAAUGUACGUAGAGCUUCCUUUACUUGAUGUUCAGAGAAACCUGCCCAGUCACAGACUCCAGAAACAGCACAGCCUUGCUUCCUGUACUUCAAAUAUUAAAGCUCUGGGCAUGCUCUACCAACUGAGCCGGGCCAGGCGCCCCUAAAGGUCCCUUCUCAGUCCCCGGCUUGCACCUGCCAGAGAGAGACAGAGCAUGAGCAGGGAAGGGGCAGAGAGAGAGGGAGACACAGAAUCGGAAGCAGGCUCCAGGCUCUGAGCCAUCAGCCCAGAGCUCGAUAUGGGGCUCGAAUUCACAGACUGUGAGAUCAUGGCCUGAGCCGAAGUCGGAUGCUCAACUGACUGAGCCACCCAGGCGCCCCGUAGGCUUCAUGCCCAGCAGAGAGCCCAGUGCGAGGUUUGAACUUACCACCCUGAGAUCAAGACC
RNA transcript from Acinonyx jubatus (cheetah), 1187 nucleotides. It is a transcript of the gene named STING1 ER exit protein 1, with no coding region annotated. The transcript has 10 exons. The record is from RefSeq and is a predicted model, not a curated record. NCBI's taxonomy places the organism in Eukaryota, Metazoa, Chordata, Mammalia, Carnivora, Felidae.